UGAGGAAUUUUCUGCAAUGGGCGAAAGCCUGACAGAGCAAUACCGCGUGAGGGAUGAAGGCCUACGGGUUGUAAACCUCUUUUCUCAAGGAGGAAGAUCUGACGUUACUUGAGGAAUAAGCAUCGGCUAACCCUGUGCCAGCAGCCGCGGUAAUACAGGGGAUGCAAGUGUUAUCCGGAAUUAUUGGGCGUAAAGCGUCUGCAGGUUGAUAUUUAAGUCUUUUGUUAAACCUUCGGGCUCAACCCGGAAUCUGCAAAGGAAACUAUAUAUCUUGAGUAUGGUAGGGGUAAAGGGAAUUUCCAGUGGAGCGGUGAAAUGCGUAGAUAUUGGAAAGAACACCAACAGCGAAGGCACUUUACUGGGCCAGUACUGACACUCAGAGACGAAAGCUAGGGGAGCAAACA
This 404-nucleotide ribosomal RNA is filed under the name uncultured bacterium. RNAcentral's name for it is "bacterial SSU rRNA". It matches the Rfam family "Bacterial small subunit ribosomal RNA", at positions 355 to 774 of the family's 1533-position model. The record is from RNAcentral.